GAUGAACGCUGGCGGCGUGCCUAACACAUGCAAGUCGAGCGGCAGCGAGGGGUGCUUGCACCCUGUCGGCGAGCGGCGGACGGCUGAGUAACGCGUGGGAACGUGCCCCAAAGUGAGGAAUAACUGCCCGAAAGGGUAGCUAAUACCGCAUAUUAUCUUCGGAUCAAAGGAUUUAUCCGCUUUGGGAGCGGCUCGCGUCGGAUUAGGUAGUUGGUGAGGUAAUGGCUCACCAAGCCGACGAUCCGUAGCUGGUCUGAGAGGAUGACCAGCCAGACUGGAACUGAGACACGGUCCAGACUCCUACGGGAGGCAGCAGUGAGGAAUCUUCCACAAUGGGCGAAAGCCUGAUGGAGCAACGCCGCGUGCAGGACGAAGGCCUUCGGGUUGUAAACUGCUUUUAUAAGUGAGGAAUAUGACGGUAACUUAUGAAUAAGGAUCGGCCAACUACGUG
Molecule: ribosomal RNA, 451 nt
Filed under: uncultured bacterium
Lineage: Bacteria
Description: partial 16S ribosomal RNA
Rfam family: Bacterial small subunit ribosomal RNA
Source: RNAcentral